CAUCAUCUUUAAUAAUAUUUAUUUUAUUUAAGUCUACUUUGCUGAAAACGCUUAUGAGGAUAAGCUCAAAAGCGAUUUUGAGAACUGUGCAAAAAAUAAAGCUGUGUAAGCCUAAAAUUAGCUACCACAAAAAGUUUGUUAUAAAAUAGCUUACAUAUAAAAAAAAAUAUUUAUGCUUUCUACCAAACACCAAUGAAGAUAAAAUCUUAGAAUUAAUUUAGUUUACACCUAUGCUAGGAUGAGUAUUUUUUUUUAUGCCCGCGAAAAAAGCUAUUUUUCCGUCUGUAAGGGGGAUUAAUGAUACUAAUUAAAUUAAAGGAAUUCGGCAAAUCCUUACUCCGCCUGUUUAUCAAAAACAUGGCUCUUUGUUUAACAAGAUAAAGAGUCGGACCUGCCCAAUGAAGUUUUAAUGGCCGCGGUACUCUGACCGUGCAAAGGUAGCGUAAUCAUUUGCCUUAUAAUUGAAGGCUCGUAUGAAUGGUUUGACGUGAGUAGUGCUGUCUCUCUUUUAUUUUUUAGAAAUUAACCUUUAGGUGAAGAGGCCUAAAUAAAAUUAAAGGACAAGAAGACCCUGUCGAGCUUAAAAGACAAAAUAGAGAUUAGUAUCUAAGAAAUAUUUAUUCUAUUGAGCUUUUUAGUUGGGGCGACUAAGGAACAAAAAAAGCUUCUUUCAAAAAACUACGCUUAUUGGCAAAGAUCCAGCAUUAGCUGAUCAAGAGAAUUAGUUACCGCAGGGAUAACAGCAUAAUCUCUCUUGAGAGACCAAAUCGAAAGAGGGGGUUGUGACCUCGAUGUUGGACUAGAAUAUCCGAAAGAUGCAGACGUCUUUGAAGGU
Molecule: ribosomal RNA, 835 nt
Rfam family: Bacterial large subunit ribosomal RNA